This 405-nucleotide ribosomal RNA is filed under the name uncultured prokaryote. RNAcentral describes it as "bacterial SSU rRNA". It matches the Rfam family "Bacterial small subunit ribosomal RNA", at positions 355 to 774 of the family's 1533-position model. The record is from RNAcentral.
UGGGGAAUAUUGGGCAAUGGGCGCAAGCCUGACCCAGCAACGCCGCGUGAAGGAAGAAGGCUUUCGGGUUGUAAACUUCUUUUACCAGGGACGAAACAAAUGACGGUACCUGGUGAAUAAGCCACGGCUAACUACGUGCCAGCAGCCGCGGUAAUACGUAGGUGGCGAGCGUUAUCCGGAUUUAUUGGGUGUAAAGGGCGUGUAGGCGGGACAGCAAGUCAGAUGUGAAAACCAGAGGCUCAACCUCUGGCCUGCAUUUGAAACUGUUGUUCUUGAGUGUCGGAGAGGUAAUCGGAAUUCCGUGUGUAGCGGUGAAAUGCGUAGAUAUACGGAGGAACACCAGUGGCGAAGGCGGAUUACUGGACGAUAACUGACGCUGAGGCGCGAAAGCGUGGGGAGCAAACA